Molecule: ribosomal RNA, 576 nt
Filed under: Triticum aestivum (bread wheat)
Lineage: Eukaryota; Viridiplantae; Streptophyta; Magnoliopsida; Poales; Poaceae
Description: partial small subunit ribosomal RNA
Source: RNAcentral
AUGGUGGAGGGCUCUGAGAGUGAUAUCUCGAACCUCAAGUUCCUCUUAUUGUGCUUCCAACAGAUGUACGGCCUUAGGACCAACUUCGACAAGAGUGAGGUUAUGGUCUUGGGCUACGACCAAGACGAGCGAUAGAGCAUAGCGGAUCGGCUUAACUGACAGCUUGGGUGCUUCCCCACGACUUAUCUGGGGAUACCCAUUAGUGACGCCAGGCUUAUGGUGGCCAAGCUGCGCCCCACGGUGGGGAAGCUCCAACAUCGGAUCGAGCCCUGGCAGGGUUGGUGGCUCUCGAAAGCGGCCCGUACGAUGCUCAUUAACUCGUCCCUCUCCAGCCUCCUAUUAUUCAUCAUGAGCUUCUACAGCCUUCCGGAGACUCUUCAUCACGAGAUUGCCACCGUUCAGGGGCGCUUCUUCUGGGCCGGCGAGGGUGAUAAGCAGAAAUACCACAUGGUCAGGUGGUCUGAGAUCUGCAAACCUCGCGACCAGGGCGGCCUUGGGAUCAUGUACUCCAAACGCAUGAAUAUUGCCCUUCUGACUUGGCUUUGGAGUAUUAGCAACAGAGAUGGUGGCCUGUAG